Molecule: ribosomal RNA, 422 nt
Filed under: uncultured bacterium
Lineage: Bacteria
Description: bacterial SSU rRNA
Rfam family: Bacterial small subunit ribosomal RNA
Source: RNAcentral
UAAGGAAUAUUGGACAAUGGAGGCAACUCUGAUCCAGCCAUGCCGCGUGAAGGAAUAAGGCCCUAUGGGUUGUAAACUUCUUUUAGACGGGACAAAACCCCUUUACGUGUAAAGGGUUGAUGGUCCUGUCAGAAUAAGCAUCGGCCAACUUCGUGCCAGCAGCCGCGGUAAUACGAAGGAUGCAAGCGUUAUCCGGAAUUAUUGGGUUUAAAGGGUGCGUAGGCGGACUAAUAAGUCAGUGGUGAAAGCCUGCAGCUUAACUGCAGAAUUGCCAUUGAUACUGUUAGCCUUGAGUACAGUUGAGGUAGGCGGAAUGUGUCAUGUAGCGGUGAAAUGCUUAGAUAGGACACAGAACAACGAUUGCGAAGGCAGCUUGCUAAGCUGUAACUGACGCUGAGGCACGAAAGCGUGGGGAGCAAACA